Molecule: ribosomal RNA, 254 nt
Filed under: uncultured bacterium
Lineage: Bacteria
Description: partial 16S ribosomal RNA
Rfam family: Bacterial small subunit ribosomal RNA
Source: RNAcentral
UACGGGGGGAGCAAGCGUUGUUCGGAUUUACUGGGCGUAAAGGGCGCGUAGGCGGUCAGCACAAGUCAGUUGUGAAAUCUCCGGGCUUAACCUGGGAACUGCAUUUGUGACUGCAUAGCUAGAGUACGGUAGAGGGGGAUGGAAUUCCGCGUGUAGCAGUGAAAUGCGUAGAUAUUCGGAAGAACACCAGUGGCGAAGGCGGCUAACUGGCCCAUUACUGACGCUGAGGCGCGAAAGCUAGGGGAGCGAACAGG